Parasteatoda tepidariorum (common house spider) is the source of this 714-nucleotide non-coding RNA. The record is from RefSeq and is a predicted model, not a curated record. NCBI's taxonomy places the organism in Eukaryota, Metazoa, Arthropoda, Arachnida, Araneae, Theridiidae.
CUGUAACUGUAAUUAAAGUCAGUAAGUUUACACUCCGAAUAAAACUAAUGAAGUUUAUUUUUGACGUAUUUUGAAAUCAAGUUUAUAUUUGACAAAAUUGUUUUGUUGCAUGAUACGUGUUCAAUUUCUUCCUAUUUGUAAAACAUUGUUAGAAGUUUCAAGAACGUUUUUAAUGUUGAUGGUGAUGAAAUCAAGUUGAAUUUAGUGGACAUCUAAAUUUACAAAGUGGUGCUUGCAUGUUCUUUGAAUCUACUAAAAGAUUGUUCUCAACAACAAUACUGCAACAAAUGGAGAAGACUUCAUGUUAAUGGAUGACAAAUGCAGGCCACAUUGUGCUAACUUGGUGAAUGAUUUCAUUUUUGAGGAAGAAAUUAUAUGAAUGGAUUUGGCCAGUGUGUUCUCCGGACAUUAACCCUAUCGAGCAUGUUUAAGACAUUCUAGGUAGACUAAUUGCUACACGCUUACCUACACCGCAAACUCUCCAAGAACUAGAAAGAGCUCUUCUGGAGGAGUGGGACAGAAUACCCCAGCACACCUUAUUAAUAACCUCAUUGACUCAAUGCCUCAAAGAUGUUCAAUGUUGCUGUCCGUCUGAGGAAACCAUAAAAUGAUUUUCUCUUAAGGAAACACCUUUUUUUAUUUGUUUUCUCAUGUGCUCAAAUUGUGUUUGUUUCUUUUUGUACCCAAAAGCUCAAUAAAACGUAUUUAUUUUUC